Molecule: long non-coding RNA, 1360 nt
Organism: Ictalurus punctatus (channel catfish)
Lineage: Eukaryota; Metazoa; Chordata; Actinopteri; Siluriformes; Ictaluridae
Source: Ensembl
GCGUGACGUGUUAUACGUUCUGUUGCAGUUUAGAUUCAGAUCCAUCUGCUACACUCCUGUUCCUUUUUAGCUUGUGGGUGUGUGGGUGCGAGUGAUUUUGUUUAUGAGUUGAAGGAAAAGUAAUCAGUGUUGGGUGGUGAUUUGGCCACAUGCAAAGUGGAUAUUUUCCCAGCCUGUCCACAAGUGUUUUAUUCCUGUUAUACCACAGGAAUAUGCCAACAGUGAUGGGGGCUCUUCUUAUUGCCCUUGUUCCUGUACAUCAGUAACAGCGUCUCCAGACCCCUCACCACAGCCUCAACAGGAACGGUGACAGGCCUGCAUAUCCUAAGUUUAACAUCUUUGGUGCAGCUAUAACAACCUUGACCUGAAAUAACUAAAGACCGUGGAGUUUACAAAACACUGAGUGGGCGCGGCACACCUCCUUCACAUAUGACUGGAACCUAAUAUUGAUUUCACUGCGAAAAAGCCGAGAACGCCAGACGUGCCUUAGGAGCAGAUCUACAAAACCACCAAAUAUGAGCACUCUCAGUUAAGAAGCAGUGGGAAAUAUCAUCGCUGACCCUCACACCUUGGACACCGCAUAUUUGAAGUGUUUCCCUCUAGCAGAUGCUUUAAAAUGAUGUGCACACAAAAAAAUGACCAGACUCAUGAAUGUGUAAUCCGCCCACACAUGUAAUGUCAAUCUGCAGUAGUUUGUAUAUGGGUCAAGAGCAAAAAUGAUUUUUGUAAAACAGGUUAAUUAGAUAACGUAAAUUAGUUUAAUUAAGCUGUUUAAAAAUUAUUUUUAUCUUUGACGCAUAUAUUAAUACUCAUCCAGCUAUUACUAUUACUAUCAACAACUAUCCAGCUAUUACUGUUUUUUUUUAUUAUUAAACUAAAAUAAAAUAAGUAUUAUUCUUGUUACAAGUUUUGCUGAUACUUUUUUGUGACUUCAUUUUUUAAAUUAGUGUUAUAAAUAUAUAUUAGAUCAUUAUUCUGAAUGACAAUUUUGCAUUGUACAUUGUAAAUUGCAUUGUUUCUGGCAUAAUAUACACAAUUUGGAAAAAAAAAUUAUUAUGAGACAAGAGACAAUUAAGAGUUAUAAGAUAUGCAGCAUUUACGGUAGGCAUAUUAAUGAUCCUACAUUAAGUUUUUACUUUAAGGAAUUAUUUUUGUCUUUGACCCAUAUAUGGUAUAAACAAAAUAAAAAUAAAAACAAAAAAUAAGAAUAAAAUAAAAUCAUUUUUCUUGUAAUAAGUCAAGAGAAUUUCUCUGUAGGCUUUGCUGAAUGGAUGCUGAGUAAACAAAUCAUGGGAGAUGAGGUUAUGUUUAAUUAUUCAGCAAACCAUUCAAAGUAGGACUAUUAAAAACAACUAGAGUA